RNAcentral lists this ribosomal RNA (754 nucleotides) under Bacillus thuringiensis. Its description in RNAcentral is "bacterial SSU rRNA". It matches the Rfam family "Bacterial small subunit ribosomal RNA", at positions 20 to 754 of the family's 1533-position model. The record is from RNAcentral. Lineage: Bacteria; Bacillati; Bacillota; Bacilli; Caryophanales; Bacillaceae.
UGGCUCAGGAUGAACGCUGGCGGCGUGCCUAAUACAUGCAAGUCGAGCGAAUGGAUUGAGAGCUUGCUCUCAAGAAGUUAGCGGCGGACGGGUGAGUAACANGUGGGUAACCUGCCCAUAAGACUGGGAUAACUCCGGGAAACCGGGGCUAAUACCGGAUAACAUUUUGAACUGCAUGGUUCGAAAUUGAAAGGCGGCUUCGGCUGUCACUUAUGGAUGGACCCGCGUCGCAUUAGCUAGUUGGUGAGGUAACGGCUCACCAAGGCAACGAUGCGUAGCCGACCUGAGAGGGUGAUCGGCCACACUGGGACUGAGACACGGCCCAGACUCCUACGGGAGGCAGCAGUAGGGAAUCUUCCGCAAUGGACGAAAGUCUGACGGAGCAACGCCGCGUGAGUGAUGAAGGCUUUCGGGUCGUAAAACUCUGUUGUUAGGGAAGAACAAGUGCUAGUUGAAUAAGCUGGCACCUUGACGGUACCUAACCAGAAAGCCACGGCUAACUACGUGCCAGCAGCCGCGGUAAUACGUAGGUGGCAAGCGUUAUCCGGAAUUAUUGGGCGUAAAGCGCGCGCAGGUGGUUUCUUAAGUCUGAUGUGAAAGCCCACGGCUCAACCGUGGAGGGUCAUUGGAAACUGGGAGACUUGAGUGCAGAAGAGGAAAGUGGAAUUCCAUGUGUAGCGGUGAAAUGCGUAGAGAUAUGGAGGAACACCAGUGGCGAAGGCGACUUUCUGGUCUGUAACUGACACUGAGGCGC